GAUGAAGAACGGAGCGAAAUGCGAUAAGUAAUGUGAAUUGCAGAAUUCAGUGAAUCAUCGAAUCUUUGAACGCACAUUGCGCCCUUUGGCAUUCCGAAGGGCACACCUGUCCGAGCGCCGUCGCACAACUGAGGCGCAGCCUAGCGUUGGCGGGCGACUUGUGAGUAGCGAGUCGCCGCCCAAACGAGACGGCGCCGCGCCGCGGCCGACGAAGCACGAAAGCGGAAGUCGACGCGGAGGCGGUUGCCUGUAGGAAGACACAGCUUGGCCUCGGAUCAGGUGGGGAUACCCGCUGAACUUAAGCAUAUCAAUAAGCGGAGGA
RNAcentral lists this unclassified non-coding RNA (322 nucleotides) under soil metagenome. RNAcentral's name for it is "partial contains 5.8S ribosomal RNA, internal transcribed spacer 2, and large subunit ribosomal RNA". The stretch from base 1 to 120 matches the Rfam family "5.8S ribosomal RNA", at positions 35 to 154 of the family's 154-position model. The record is from RNAcentral.